GGAUCUGAAGACAAUCUGGCCUUAACAUUUGUUCCCUCGGUGACUGCCAAGAGUAAUUGGGCUUAUUCGAUGGGUUGUACAAAUGUCCCUUCCUCCAUCUCUACUCCAUCUGUAAUCUCUUCCAUCUCCACUUCAAAGCUACUACAGUCCAUCCAAAGCUAUAUACUUAGUGCAGAGAUGCACCUUUCCUAAAGUGACAAUGUUGUAUUUGCCAAAUUUGGUCAAAGGAAAUCUUAUUAGUUAUACUUCCCCAGUACACAAAGUAAUAAUUGAAGUGGUAAGAAACAUGACCCACCCUUCCUAUCUACCAGUACCAGCU
Molecule: small nuclear RNA, 319 nt
Filed under: Monodelphis domestica (gray short-tailed opossum)
Lineage: Eukaryota; Metazoa; Chordata; Mammalia; Didelphimorphia; Didelphidae
Description: 7SK RNA
Rfam family: 7SK RNA (bases 1-107)
Source: Rfam by way of RNAcentral